Molecule: ribosomal RNA, 253 nt
Filed under: uncultured bacterium
Lineage: Bacteria
Description: partial 16S ribosomal RNA
Rfam family: Bacterial small subunit ribosomal RNA
Source: RNAcentral
UACGUAGGGGGCAAACGUUGUCCGGAUUUACUGGGUGUAAAGGGGGCUCAGGCGGUCUUGUAAGUCAGAAGUGAAAUCCUAGGGCUUAACUCUGGAACUGCUUUUGAUACUACAAGGCUUGAAUAUGGAAGAGGAGGAUGGAAUUUCUGGUGUAGCAGUGAAAUGCGUAGAUAUCAGAAAGAACACCAGUGGCGAAGGCGGUCCUCUGGUCCAUUAUUGACGCUAAAGCACGAAAGCGUGGGGAGCAAACAGG